ACGUUAAUCGGGGCAGGGUGAGUCGACCCCUAAGGCGAGGCCGAAAGGCGUAGUCGAUGGGAAACAGGUUAAUAUUCCUGUACUUGGUGUUACUGCGAAGGGGGGACGGAGAAGGCUAUGUUGGCCGGGCGACGGUUGUCCCGGUUUAAGCGUGUAGGCUGGUUUUCCAGGCAAAUCCGGAAAAUCAAGGCUGAGGCGUGAUGACGAGGCACUACGGUGCUGAAGCAACAAAUGCCCUGCUUCCAGGAAAAGCCUCUAAGCAUCAGGUAACAUCAAAUCGUACCCCAAACCGACACAGGUGGUCAGGUAGAGAAUACCAAGGCGCUUGAGAGAACUCGGGUGAAGGAACUAGGCAAAAUGGUGCCGUAACUUCGGGAGAAGGCACGCUGAUAUGUAGGUGAAGUCCCUUGCGGAUGGAGCUGAAAUCAGUCGAAGAUACCAGCUGGCUGCAACUGUUUAUUAAAAACACAGCACUGUGCAAACACGAAAGUGGACGUAUACGGUGUGACGCCUGCCCGGUGCCGGAAGGUUAAUUGAUGGGGUCAGCGCAAGCGAAGCUCUUGAUCGAAGCCCCGGUAAACGGCGGCCGUAACUAUAACGGUCCUAAGGUAGCGAAAUUCCUUGUCGGGUAAGUUCCGACCUGCACGAAUGGCGUAAUGAUGGCCAGGCUGUCUCCACCCGAGACUCAGUGAAAUUGAACUCGCUGUGAAGAUGCAGUGUACCCGCGGCAAGACGGAAAGACCCCGUGAACCUUUACUAUAGCUUGACACUGAACAUUGAGCCUUGAUGUGUAGGAUAGGUGGGAGGCUUUGAAGUGUGGACGCCAGUCUGCAUGGAGCCGGCCUUGAAAUACCACCCUUUAAUGUUUGAUGUUCUAACGUGGACCCGUGAUCCGGGUUGCGGACAGUGUCUGGUGGGUAGUUUGACUGGGGCGGUCUCCUCCUAAAGAGUAACGGAGGAGCACGAAGGUUGGCUAAUCCUGGUCGGACAUCAGGAGGUUAGUGCAAUGGCAUAAGCCAGCUUGACUGCGAGCGUGACGGCGCGAGCAGGUGCGAAAGCAGGUCAUAGUGAUCCGGUGGUUCUGAAUGGAAGGGCCAUCGCUCAACGGAUAAAAGGUACUCCGGGGAUAACAGGCUGAUACCGCCCAAGAGUUCAUAUCGACGGCGGUGUUUGGCACCUCGAUGUCGGCUCAUCACAUCCUGGGGCUGAAGUAGGUCCCAAGGGUAUGGCUGUUCGCCAUUUAAAGUGGUACGCGAGCUGGGUUUAGAACGUCGUGAGACAGUUCGGUCCCUAUCUGCCGUGGGCGCUGGAGAACUGAGGGGGGCUGCUCCUAGUACGAGAGGACCGGAGUGGACGCAUCACUGGUGUUCGGGUUGUCAUGCCAAUGGCACUGCCCGGUAGCUAAAUGCGGAAGAGAUAAGUGCUGAAAGCAUCUAAGCACGAAACUUGCCCCGAGAUGAGUUCUCCCUGACCCUUUAAGGGUCCUGAAGGAACGUUGAAGACGACGACGUUGAUAGGCCGGGUGUGUAAGCGCAGCGAUGCGUUGAGCUAACCGGUACUAAUGAACCGUGAGG
This 1574-nucleotide ribosomal RNA is filed under the name Shigella sonnei. RNAcentral's name for it is "partial 23S ribosomal RNA". It matches the Rfam family "Bacterial large subunit ribosomal RNA", at positions 1362 to 2915 of the family's 2925-position model. Lineage: Bacteria; Pseudomonadati; Pseudomonadota; Gammaproteobacteria; Enterobacterales; Enterobacteriaceae. The record is from RNAcentral.